Molecule: long non-coding RNA, 769 nt
Organism: Aplysia californica (California sea hare)
Lineage: Eukaryota; Metazoa; Mollusca; Gastropoda; Aplysiida; Aplysiidae
Exons: 2
Source: RefSeq, a predicted model, not a curated record
AGCUGAUCUCACAGAUGGACGAGGCGGGUGGUGCCGGGCCAAACGAGAGUCACUAGCCAUCGUCUUUCUACAAUGAGGUGUACAACCUGGCGCAGCGGGGCAGGUGGAAAACUCUCCCUGGUCCUGGCAGCCCCACUACCCACAUUCCAGUUUCUCACGCGCGUGUGUGUCGUAUGUGUGUUGUAUGUGUGUCGUAUGUGUGUUGGGUGUGUGUACUCUGCGGAUUUCACAUGAUCUCUUACAACCCUGUCAAAAUAUUUCAAAGAGGUGGGACCAUGGAUAGAAUGCCUGUUUCUGAUACCGCUGAGUGGAUGGAGAAGAAAGAAAGCUGUGGAAAGUCCUGUCAUUCAAAGCUUCUCCUGAUCUAUUCACACUCAGGUCUUCCACAAGGUAAUCCAGCCUGGUUCUACCGACAGAGCAAAUGGUGCGCCCACACGUGGCGGUCAUUAUGACUCCAACUGGCUGUAGUUUUGUAUUUCUGUAUUUCUGUAUUUCUGUAGUUUUGUAUUUCUGUAUUUCUGUGAUUAAUUGUUGUUGAUUUAUGUGUAGGACUUUGAACAAGUUGCAAGAUUGAGUUGUUCUUUAUUUGAUGAUUUGAUGGGCUUCUUAUACUUAGGAACUGAUAGUUUUUCAUGUUUGGCUUCCUUUUUUUUCUUGACUGAACUUACCUAAGACGUGCAUGAUGCUACAUUUGAUUUGUUCUUGGGAAGAUUCCAACUGUAGCAUUCCGGGUCCUGGUGCAAUAAUAAAGUUACUGCGGGAAAUCUGA